This is a long non-coding RNA of Esox lucius (northern pike), 354 nucleotides long. RefSeq lists it as uncharacterized. NCBI's taxonomy places the organism in Eukaryota, Metazoa, Chordata, Actinopteri, Esociformes, Esocidae. The transcript has 4 exons. The record is from RefSeq and is a predicted model, not a curated record.
CACCCUCAGACAAUAUGUUGGAAAACUAGUGAACCUGCUGUGUGUGUGUGUGUGUGUGUGUGUGUGUGUGUGUGUGUGUGUGUGUGAGACUCUUCUUGAUACCUUUUCAGGGGCUGAAGGGCAUACUGGAUUUCACCAAUUGCUGUCUUGUGGCGACAUGGCAGAGAUUCAGGUUUGCCUUACAAUCAUUGAACCUGUGUGGCUCUGAUGGAAACAUCUACCAUUACAAGUGUGAGCUGUGUCUCCAUAUAAGAGAAACCCAAAUUGAGUUGUCCAUUGUGGGCAUGGAUAGAUGCCCAAGAGGAUAAUGUCUCCGAAUAAAACCUAAUCGCUCCCUAAAAUGUAAUGUAAUCA